RNAcentral lists this ribosomal RNA (371 nucleotides) under uncultured archaeon. Its description in RNAcentral is "bacterial SSU rRNA". It matches the Rfam family "Archaeal small subunit ribosomal RNA", at positions 497 to 870 of the family's 1478-position model. The record is from RNAcentral.
GAUUAUUGGGCCUAAAGCAUCCGUAGCCGGUUUUACAAGUCCUCCGUUAAAUCCAACUGCUUAACAGAUGGGCCGCGGAGGAUACUAUAAGACUAGGAGGCAGGAGAGGCAAGCGGUACUCAGUGGGUAGGGGUAAAAUCCGUUGAUCCAUUGAAGACCACCAGUGGCGAAGGCGGCUUGCCAGAAUGCGCUCGACGGUGAGGGAUGAAAGCUGGGGGAGCAAACCGGAUUAGAUACCCGGGUAGUCCCAGCUGUAAACGAUGCAGACUCGGUGAUGGACUAGCUUAAUGCUAGUCCAGUGCCGCAGGGAAGCCGUUAAGUCUGCCGCCUGGGUAGUACGGUCGCAAGACUGAAACUUAAAGGAAUUGGCG